UUGACCUCGGAUCAGGUAGGGAUACCCGCUGAACUUAAGCAUAUCAAUAAGCGGAGGAAAAGAAACCAACAGGGAUUGCCUCAGUAACGGCGAGUGAAGCGGCAACAGCUCAAAUUUGAAAGCUGGCCCCCCCGGGGGUCCGCGUUGUAAUUUGUAGAGGAUGAUUCGGCGAGGGCUCCCGCCUAAGUCCCCUGGAACGGGGCGUCAUAGAGGGUGAGAAUCCCGUAUGCGGUGGGCUGCCUUAGCCACGUGAAUCUCCUUCGACGAGUCGAGUUGUUUGGGAAUGCAGCUCUAAAUGGGAGGUAAAUUUCUUCUAAAGCUAAAUACCGGCCAGAGACCGAUAGCGCACAAGUAGAGUGAUCGAAAGAUGAAAAGCACUUUGGAAAGAGAGUUAAAAAGUACGUGAAAUUGUUGAAAGGGAAGCGCUUGCAGCCAGACUUGUCCGCAGUUGCUCAGCCGGUCUCCUGACCGGCGCACUCUUCUGCGGCCAGGCCAGCAUCAGUUCGGGCGGUCGGAUAAAGGCCCCGGGAACGUAGCUCCUCUCGGGGAGUGUUAUAGCCCGGGGUGGAAUGCGGCCAGCCCGGACUGAGG
RNAcentral lists this ribosomal RNA (591 nucleotides) under Neoscytalidium novaehollandiae. RNAcentral's name for it is "eukaryotic LSU rRNA". It matches the Rfam family "Eukaryotic large subunit ribosomal RNA", at positions 1 to 594 of the family's 3401-position model. Lineage: Eukaryota; Fungi; Ascomycota; Dothideomycetes; Botryosphaeriales; Botryosphaeriaceae. The record is from RNAcentral.